Molecule: long non-coding RNA, 3981 nt
Filed under: Citrus x clementina
Lineage: Eukaryota; Viridiplantae; Streptophyta; Magnoliopsida; Sapindales; Rutaceae
Description: Citrus clementina (C. clementina) long non-coding RNA (CCLE_LNC006093)
Source: RNAcentral
CAGCCCCCGAAGGUCGGGGUGCCAACACCCCCCAGCGGAAAAAUGGCCAAAAAACGGGUGGGCUAUAGCCUUGGUGGGGGGCGUGGGCGAAGUUCGUCCGCCGAACUCGGAAUGGCCCCAGACUUUGCGGGCGGCCUCCGUGUGCCAAAAAUAGGCCACGGGCAGAGCCGCGCCCAAAAAUCAGCCCCCGAAGGUCGGGGUGCCAAGACCCCCCAUCGGAAAAAUGGCCAAAAAACGGGUGGGCUAUAGCCUUGGUGGGGGGCGUGGGCGAAGUUCGUCCGCCGGACUCGGAAUGGCCCCAGACUUUGCGGGCGGCUUCCGUGUGCCAAAAAUAGGCCACGGGCAGAGCCGCGCCCAAAAAUCAGCCCCCGAAGGUCGGGGUGCCAACACCCCCCAGCGGAAAAAUGGCCAAAAAACGGGUGGGCUAUAGCCUUGGUGGGGGGCGUGGGCGAAGUUCGUCCGCCGGACUCGGAAUGGCCCCAGACUUUGCGGGCGGCUUCCGUGUGCCAAAAAUAGGCCACGGGCAGAGCCGCGCCCAAAAAUCAGCCCCCGAAGGUCGGGGUGCCAACACCCCCCAGCGGAAAAAUGGCCAAAAAACGGGUGGGCUAUAGCCUUGGUGGGGGGCGUGGGCGAAGUUCGUCCGCCGGGCUCGGAAUGGCCCCAGACUUUGCGGGCGGCCUCCGUGUGCCAAAAAUAGGCCACGGGCACAGCCGCGCCCAAAACUCAGCCCCCGAAGGUCGGGGCGCCAAGACCCCCCCGCGGAAAAAUGGCCAAAAAACGGGUGGGCUAUAGCCUUGGUGGGGGGCGUGGGCGAAGUUCGUCCGCCGGACUCGGAAUGGCCCCAGACGUUGCGGGCGGGCUCCGUGUGCCAAAAAAAGGCACGGGCAAGGCCGCGCCCAAAAAUCAGCCCCCGAAGGUCGGGGUGCCAACACCCCCCAGCGGAAAAAUGGACAAAAAACGGGUGGGCUAUAGCCUUGGUGGGGGGCGUGGGCGAAGUUCAUCCGCCGGACUCGGAAUGGCACCAGACUUUGCGGGCGGCCUCCGUGUGCCAAAAAUAGGCCACGGGCACAGCCGCGCCCAAAAAUCAGUUCCAGAAGGUCGGGCCGCCAAGACCCCCCAGCGGAAAAAUAGCCAAAAAACGGGUGGGCUAUAGCCUUGGUCGGGGGCGUGGGCGAAGUUCGUCCGCCGGACUCGGAAUGGACCCAGACUUUGCGGGCGGCCUCCCAGUGCCAAAAAUAGGCCACGGGCACAGCCGCGCCCUAAAAUCAAUCCCGUAAGGUCGGGGUGCCAAGAUCCCCCAGCGGAAAAAUGAACCCAAAACACGGGUGGGCUAUAUUCCUUUCGUGGUGGAGCGGUGGGCGAAGUUCGUCCGCCGGACUCGGAAUGGNNNNNNNNNNNNNNNNNNNNNNNNNNNNNNNNNNNNNNNNNNNNNNNNNNNNNNNNNNNNNNNNNNNNNNNNNNNNNNNNNNNNNNNNNNNNNNNNNNNNNNNNNNNNNNNNNNNNNNNNNNNNNNNNNNNNNNNNNNNNNNNNNNNNNNNNNNNAAGUUAGUCCGCCGGACUCGGAAUGGCCCCAGACUUUGCGGGCGGCCUCCGUGUGCCAAAACUAGGCCACGGGCACAGCCGCGCCCAAAAAUCAGCCCCCGAAGGUCGGGGGGCAAGACCCCCCAGCGGAAAAAUGGCCAAAAAACGGGUGGGCUAUAGCCUUGGUCGGGGGCGUGGGCGAAUAUCGUCCGCCGGACUCGGAAUGGAGCCAGACUUUGCGGGCGACCUCCGUGUGCCAAAAAUAUGCCACGGGCACAGCCGCGCCCAAAAAUCAGCCCCCGAAGGUCGGGGCGCCAAGACCCCCCAGCGGAAAAAUGGCCAAAAAACGGGUGGGCUAUAGCCUUGGUGGGGGGCGUGGGCGAAGUUCGUCCAGCGGACUCGGAAUGGCCCCAGACUUUGCGGGCGGCCUCCGUGUGGCAAAAAUAGGCCACGGGCAGAGCCGCGCCCAAAAAUCAGCCCCCGAAGGUCGGGGUGCCAAGACCCCCCAGCGGAAAAAUGGCCAAAAAACGGGUGGGCUAUAGCCUUGGUGGCGGGCGUGGGCGAAGUUCGUCCGCCGGACUCGGAAUGGCCCCAGACUUUGCGGGCGGCCUCCGUGUGCCAAAAACAGGCCACGGGCACACCCGCGCCCAAAAAUCAGCCCCCGAAGGUCGGGGCGCCAAGACCCCCCAGCGGAAAAAUGGCCAAAAAAUGGGUGGGCGGGCUAUAUCCUUGGUGGGGGGCGUGGGCGAAGUUCGUCCGCCGGACUCGGAAUGGCCCCAGACUUUGCGGGCGGCCUCCGUGUGCCAAAAACAGGCCACGGGCACACCCGCGCCCCAAAAAUCAGCCCCCGAAAGGUCGGGGCGCCAAGACCCCCCAGCGGAAAAAUGGCCAAAAAAUGGGUGGGCGGGCUAUAGCUUUGGUGGAGGGCGUGGGCGAAGUUCGUCCGCCGAACUCGGAAUGGCCCCAGACUUUGCGGGCGGCCUCCGUGUGCCAAAAAUAGGCCACGGGCACAGCCGCGCCCAAAAAUCAGCCCCCGAAGGUCGGGGUGCCAACACCCCCCAGCGGAAAAAUGGCCAAAAAACGGGCGGGCUAUAGCCUUGGUGGGGGGCGUGGGCGAAAUUCGUCCGCCGGACUCGGAAUGGCCCCAGACUUUGCGGGCGGCCUGCGUGUGCCAAAAAUAGGCCACGGGCACAGCCGCGCCCAAAAAUCAGCACCCAAAUGUCGGGGCGCCAAGACCCCCCAGCGGAAAAAUGGCCAAAAAAUGGGUGGGCUAUAGCCUUGGUGGGGGGCGUGGGCGAAGUUAGUCCGCCGGACUCGGAAUGGCCCCAGACUUUGCGGGCGGCCUCCGUGUGCCAAAAAUAGGCCACGGGCAGAGCCGCGCCCAAAAAUCAGCCCCCGAAGGUCGGGGCACCAAGACCCCCCAGCGGAAAAAUGGCCAAAAAACGGGUGGGCUAUAGCCUUGGUGGGGGGCGUGGGCGAAGUUCGUCCGCCGGACUCGGAAUGGCCCCAGACUUUGCGGGCGGCUUCCGUGUGCCAAAAAUAGGCCACGGGCAGAGCCACGCCCAAAAAUCAGCCCCCGAAGGUCGGGGUGCCAAGACCCCCCAGCGGAAAAAUGGCCAAAAAACGGGUGGGCUAUAGCCUUGGUGGGGGGCGUGGGCGAAGUUAGUCCGCCGGACUCGGAAUGGCCCCAGACUUUGCGGACGGCCUCCGUGUGCCAAAAAUAGGCCACGGGCAGAGCCGCGCCCAAAAAUCAGCCCCCGAAGGUCGGGGCGCCAAGACCCCCCAGCGGAAAAAUGGCCAAAAAACGGGUGGGCUAUAGCCUUGGUGGGGGGCGUGGGCGAAGUUCGUCCGCCGGACUCGGAAUGGCCCCAGACGUUGCGGGCGGCCUCCGUGUGCCAAAAAUAGGCCACGGGCACAGCCGCGCCCAAAAAUCAGCCCCCGAAUGUCGGGGUGCCAACACCCCCCAGCGGAAAAAUGGCCAAAAAACGGGUGGGCUAUAGCCUUGGUGGGGGGCGUGGGCGAAGUUCGUCCGCCGGGCUCGGAAUGGCCCCAGACUUUGCGGGCGGCCUCCGUGUGCCAAAAAUAGGCCACGGGCACAGCCGCGCCCAAAACUCAGCCCCCGAAGGUCGGGGCGCCAAGACCCCCCAGCGGAAAAAUGGCCAAAAAACGGGUGGGCUAUAGCCUUGGUGGGGGGCGUGGGCGAAGUUCGUCCGCCGGACUCGGAAUGGCCCCAGACGUUGCGGGCGGCCUCCGUGUGCCAAAAAUAGGCCACGGGCACGGCCGCGCCCAAAAAUCAGCCCCCGAAGGUCGGGGUGCCAACACCCCCCAGCGGAAAAAUGGACAAAAAACGGGUGGGCUAUAGCCUUGGUGGGGGGCGUGGGCGAAGUUCAUCCGCUGGACUCGGAAUGGCACCAGACUUUGCGGGCGGCCUCCGUGUGCCAAAAAUAGGCCACGGGCACA